Molecule: ribosomal RNA, 301 nt
Filed under: uncultured bacterium
Lineage: Bacteria
Description: partial 16S ribosomal RNA
Rfam family: Bacterial small subunit ribosomal RNA
Source: RNAcentral
CAGCCGCCGCGGGAAUACGGAGGAUCCAAGCGUUAUCCGGAUUUAUUGGGCUUAAAGGGUGCGUAGGCGGCUUUUUAAGUCAGGGGUGAAAGACGGUAGCUUAACUAUCGCAGUGCCUUUGAUACUGAUGGGCUUGAAUGUACUUGAAGUGGGCGGAAUGUGGCAAGUAGCGGUGAAAUGCAUAGAUAUGUCACAGAACACCGAUUGCGAAGGCAGCUCACUAAAGUAUGAUUGACGCUGAGGCACGAAAGCGUGGGGAUCAAACAGGAUUAGAUACCCCUGUAGUCCCUGUCUCUUAUAC